This 460-nucleotide ribosomal RNA is filed under the name uncultured bacterium. RNAcentral's name for it is "partial 16S ribosomal RNA". It matches the Rfam family "Bacterial small subunit ribosomal RNA", at positions 338 to 795 of the family's 1533-position model. The record is from RNAcentral.
CCUACGGGAGUCAGCAGUGAGGACUAUUUGUCAAUGGACGAGAGUCUGAACCAGCCAAGUAGCGUGAAGGAUGACUGCCCUAUGGGUUGUAAACUUCUUUUAUAAAUGAAUAAAACGAGGCACGUGUGCCUUUUUGCAUGUACUUUAUGAAUAAGGAUCGGCUAACUACGUGCCAGCAGCCGCGGGAAUACGGAGGAUCCUAUCGUUAUCCGGAUUUAUUGGGUUUAACGGGAGCGUAGAUGGGUUGUUAAGUCAGUUGUGAAAGUUUGCGGCUCAAACGUAAAAUUGCAAUUGAGACUGGCAGUCUUGAGUACAGUUGAGGUAAGCGGAAUUCGUGGUGUAGCGGUGAAAUGCUUAGAUAUCACGAAGAACCCCGAUUGCGAAGGCAGCUUACUAAACUGUGACUGACAUUGAUGCUCGAAAGUGUGGGUAUCAAACAGGAUUAGAGACCCGUGUAGUC